AUUGAACGCUGGCGGCAGGCUUAACACAUGCAAGUCGAGCGGGGUGAUGGUGCUUGCACUAUCACUUAGCGGCGGACGGGUGAGUAAUGCUUAGGAAUCUGCCUAUUAGUGGGGGACAACAUCUCGAAAGGGAUGCUAAUACCGCAUACGUCCUACGGGAGAAAGCAGGGGAUCACUUGUGACCUUGCGCUAAUAGAUGAGCCUAAGUCGGAUUAGCUAGUUGGUGGGGUAAAGGCCUACCAAGGCGACGAUCUGUAGCGGGUCUGAGAGGAUGAUCCGCCCAACUGGGACUGGGACACGGCCCAGACUCCUACGGGAGGCAGCAGUGGGGAAUAUUGGACAAUGGGGGGAACCCUGAUCCAGCCAUGCCGCGUGUGUGAAGAAGGCCUUAUGGUUGUAAAGCACUUUAAGCGAGGAGGAGGCUCUUUUGGUUAAUACCCAAGAUGAGUGGACGUUACUCGCAGAAUAAGCACCGGCUAACUCUGUGCCAGCAGCCGCCGUAA
Molecule: ribosomal RNA, 503 nt
Filed under: uncultured bacterium
Lineage: Bacteria
Description: partial 16S ribosomal RNA
Rfam family: Bacterial small subunit ribosomal RNA
Source: RNAcentral